RNAcentral lists this transfer RNA (86 nucleotides) under Armatimonadota bacterium. Its description in RNAcentral is "Armatimonadetes bacterium (activated sludge metagenome) tRNA-Leu". It matches the Rfam family "tRNA". Rfam says of the family: Transfer RNA (tRNA) molecules are approximately 80 nucleotides in length. Their secondary structure includes four short double-helical elements and three loops (D, anti-codon, and T loops). Lineage: Bacteria; Bacillati; Armatimonadota. The record is from RNAcentral.
GCGCGGGUGGUGGAAUUGGUAGACACGCAUGGUUGAGGGCCAUGUGGGCGCAGCCCGUGUGGGUUCGAGUCCCACCCUGCGCACCA